GGGCGGAGACUGAGGAAGAUGGCGCCGGAAGAUUUCGAGUGUCUUUCUUACAGUAGAACAAUGCUUUGAUCGCCUGGUCUUCAUUCUCCUGUAAUCUCACUUGUACAUGUGGUGCUGGGAAUAAAACAACGAAAUCAGAGGUGCAUUUAUGGCAAUAACCAUUCCUUAUUUUCUUACUGCAUCCACAUGAAACAUCAUACGCUGCAUCAUCAAUUCUUUCAGAAGUGGCUGAAAUUCUAUGAAAAAUGGCAGUUCCAUUCAUAGAUGUAAUUAUGUAUACCCUAUAUUUAUGACAUUCGCUCUGAGACGCCGUCCGGUGUGGAGGGCGCUGACAUUCCUCAGAUAACUCUGUAAAUCUGUAAGGUGAUUAAUGAUGUGGGAGGCAGGAGGGGAGAUGGAAGAGAAUGUAACUCACUAAGACUAGAGAUAAAUGGAAGGUGGUGUUGUAAGUUGGUUAAAAUGGCAUAGAAGAAAUGCUUAUGAAGCUUCUUCUCCAAACAUACUCGACCCUUGCACAUCCUUGUACCCAUAUCUUCUAGAUAAGCAGACCCUUUUGAGACAAAGCAGCUUGCUCAUUAUUCUUCAAUACAGGACAUCUUGCUUCUCCCUUCCAAGGCUGGAGCCUGUCUGUCUGGUAGAAACAUUUAUAAAAACCGCGGUCUAACUUAAGUUAGUUAACUCCAGAGCAUCACUGAGUGGUUGCAGAGAACAACGAAGAUUGAAAGCUUGGACAAAGAAGACAGAAGACUUGAGAACUAGGAAAAUCUUAAGGCUUGAUCACUUGAAGAACUAAAGUUUGGUUUAAAGUUUCGCCCCCUCUCUUAUUUUCUGGUCCCUGCUGAAGACCUUUCUUUUCGAUCGGGCCUUUGGUCACCUUCCUCCCCCUCCUGCGGCCCCGGGAUUCGCUACUGUGAAGCUCUCUGAGACGCCGUCCGGCGUGGAGGGCGCUAUAUAAAUCUAAGUUGUUGUUGCUUGCUGUAAAGACAAAGUGCCGAACCUGCAACGCUCGGUAGUAUUGCUCUGUUUUAUUAAAAUAGACGUUAUUUUUUCAACACA
Callorhinchus milii (elephant shark) is the source of this 1056-nucleotide long non-coding RNA. RefSeq lists it as uncharacterized. The transcript has 2 exons. The record is from RefSeq and is a predicted model, not a curated record. NCBI's taxonomy places the organism in Eukaryota, Metazoa, Chordata, Chondrichthyes, Chimaeriformes, Callorhinchidae.